RNAcentral lists this non-coding RNA (2425 nucleotides) under Limnonectes ibanorum (rough-backed river frog). Its description in RNAcentral is "partial contains tRNA-Phe, 12S ribosomal RNA, tRNA-Val, and 16S ribosomal RNA". The stretch from base 1094 to 2425 matches the Rfam family "Bacterial large subunit ribosomal RNA", at positions 1 to 2594 of the family's 2925-position model. The record is from RNAcentral. Lineage: Eukaryota; Metazoa; Chordata; Amphibia; Anura; Dicroglossidae.
UGGUCCCUAAAAAGCCCUGAAAGCACAAAGAUUUGGUCCUAGUCUUAUUAUCAGCUUCUCCUAAACUUACACAUGCAAGUCUCAGCCCACCCGUGAGGAUGCCCUUUCCUCUAAACCAGAGCAAGGAGCCGGCAUCAGGCACAAAAUUCGCCCAUUACGCCUAGUCCCACCACGCCCCCAAGGGCCCCAGCAGUGAUAAACAUUGUUCAUAAGCGACAGCUUGACUCAGUUACAGGAGACAGAGCUGGCUAACUCGGUGCCAGCCGCCGCGGCUAAACCGCAUGAGCUCGAGUUGAUAAUUAUCGGCGUUAAGCGUGAUUAAAGACACUUAAAUUAGAAUUAAACCUACGCUUAGCUGUGACAAGCUUGCUGCUAGGGAGAUCCAAAAACGAAAGUUAUCCUAAUCUACUUGAACCCACGACAGUGAGGAAACAAACUGGGAUUAGAUACCCCACUAUGCCCCACCGUAAAAUAUUAACUCACACCACCAACGCCCGGGCAUUACGAGCCUAGCUUAAAACCCAAAGGACUUGACGGUGUCCCACCCAACUAGAGGAGCCUGUUCUAUAAUCGAUAACCCCCGAUACACCCAACCCCACCUUGCCACUCAGCCUGUAUACCUCCGUCGUAAGCUUACCAUAUGAAUGCCAACAGUAAGUAUAAUGGUCUUAACACCAAUACGUCAGGUCAAGGUGCAGCUCACGAUGGGGAAGCAAUGGGCUACAAUCUCUAGCAUAGAACAUACGAAAUACUACAUGAAAUACAGAUAUGAAGGCGGAUUUAGUAGUAAAAGGGGAAUAGUGCGCCCCUUUUAACAAGGCCAUGGGACGUGUACACACCGCCCGUCACCCUCUUCGACAGUUUAUUAAACGUCUAUAACCACCCACUGCGUCUUAGAAGAGGCAAGUCGUAACACGGUAAGUGUACCGGAAGGUGCUCUUGGUUCAACAAAAUGUAGCUUAACUAAAGCCUCUCGCUUACACCGAAAAGACAUCCGUGAAAACCAGAUCAUUUUGAACCUAAACCUUAGCCUAAUCCUGAGCCUAUGUACAUCACACCCAAAUUAAUUAAAACAAAACAUUUCUUUAGUCUAGUAGAGGUGAUCAAAAAACUUAUUAGCGCCCUAUUGCCAGUACCGCAAGGGAAAAGUGAAAUAGCUUUGAAAUAGCCUUAAAGUAGAACAAAGCAGAGCUCAUCCCUCGUACCUUUUGCAUCAUGGUUUAGCCAGUCCUAGCCAGGCAAAGUGAUACACUAGUCUGGCCCCCCGAAACUAGACGAGCUACUUUUAAACAGCUUCACAGAGCCAACCCAUCUCUGUUGCAAAAGAGUGGGAUGAUUUAUAAGUAGAGGUGAAAAGCCUAUCGAGCCUAGAGAUAGCUGGUUACUUAGGAAAAGAAUUUUAGUUCAACUUCAAGCCCCCACAUUAUAACAACAAACACCUGAGGCUUGAAAGCUAGUCAAACAAGGCACAGCUUGUUUGACAAAGGCGACAGCCUAUAAAAAAGGGUAAACCCAACACUACUGACCAAGUGGGCCUAAAAGCAGCCACCUUUGAAAAAGCGUUAAAGCUUCCUCUCACCCUUUGAUUUAAUACCUGAAAAUACCCUAAACCCUUUAUCACUACUAAGUAAUUUUAUAAUUUUAUAAAAGCCUUUAUGCUAAAACUAGUAACAAGAAGUAGAACUUCUCCUAAAUACAGGUGUACGCCAAAAUGGACUAGCCAUCGGCAAUUAUCGUUAAUGAGCUCGCUAUAGCAACACACCCAAGAAAACACUAUUAUCACACACGUUAAUCUUACACAAGCGUAUUCUAGGAAAGAUUAAAAGGAGAGGAAGGAACUCGGCAAACUUUAACCCCGCCUGUUUACCAAAAACACCGCCUCUUGUCAAAAAAUAAGAGGUCCAGCCUGCCCAGUGACACACUUAAACGGCCGCGGUACCCUGACCGUGCAAAGGUAGCAUAAUCAUUUGUUCUUUAAAUAAGGACUUGUAUCAACGGCAUCACGAGGGUUAUACUGUCUCCCCCCCCUAAUCAGUGAAACUGACCUCCCCGUGAAGAGGCGGGGAUUAGUCUACAAGACGAGAAGACCCCAUGGAGCUUUAAACCCAAUGAUAACCUCUCUCCAAGUACCCCUUAAAGAAAUAGAGGACCUAUAAAUUGGUUUUAGGUUGGGGUGACCGUGGAGUAAAACAAAACCUCCUUGACGAAUAGGAACUAUCCUAAUCUAAGAGCCACUGCUCUAAGAAUCAAGAACUUGACGUAAAAUGAUCCGGCAACCGAUCAACGAACCAAGUUACCCUGGGGAUAACAGCGCAAUCCAUUUCAAGAGCCCCUAUCGACAAAUGGGUUUACGACCUCGAUGUUGGAUCAGGGUAUCCCAGUGGUGCAGCCGCUACUAAAGGUUUGUUUGUUCAACAAUUAAAAC